Molecule: ribosomal RNA, 508 nt
Filed under: uncultured bacterium
Lineage: Bacteria
Description: bacterial SSU rRNA
Rfam family: Bacterial small subunit ribosomal RNA
Source: RNAcentral
CAUGGCUCAGAUUGAACGCUGGCGGCAGGCUAACACAUGCAAGUCGAACGGUAGCAGGAGAAGCUGCUCUUGCUGACGAGUGGCGGACGGGUGAGGUAAUGCUUGGGAAUCUGGCUUAUGGAGGGGGAGUAACUACUGGAAACGGUAAGCUAAUACCGCGUAAUCUCUUCGGAGUAAAGGGUGGGACCUUUUGGCACCUGCCAUAAGAUGAGCCCAAGUGGGAUUAGGUAGUUGGUGAGGUAAUGGCUCACCAAGCCUGCGAUCUCUAGCUGGUCUGAGAGGAUGACCAGCCACACUGGAACUGAGACACGGUCCAGACUCCUACGGGAGGCAGCAGUGGGGAAUAUUGCACAAUGGGGGGAACCCUGAUGCAGCCAUGCCGCGUGAAUGAAGAAGGCCUUCGGGUUGUAAAGUUCUUUCGGUGAUGAGGAAGGCGGUUAGUUUAAUAGACUAAUCGAUUGACGUUAGUCACAGAAGAAGCACCGGCUAACUCCGUGCCAGCCGCGGC